This 142-nucleotide ribosomal RNA is filed under the name Bacillus vallismortis. Its description in RNAcentral is "partial 16S ribosomal RNA". It matches the Rfam family "Bacterial small subunit ribosomal RNA", at positions 1 to 139 of the family's 1533-position model. Lineage: Bacteria; Bacillati; Bacillota; Bacilli; Caryophanales; Bacillaceae. The record is from RNAcentral.
UUUAUGGAGAGUUUGAUCCUGGCUCAGGACGAACGCUGGCGGCGUGCCUAAUACAUGCAAGUCGAGCGGACAGAUGGGAGCUUGCUCCCUGAUGUUAGCGGCGGACGGGUGAGUAACACGUGGGUAACCUGCCUGUAAGACU